RNAcentral lists this ribosomal RNA (360 nucleotides) under Atysa marginata. Its description in RNAcentral is "partial 28S ribosomal RNA". Lineage: Eukaryota; Metazoa; Arthropoda; Insecta; Coleoptera; Chrysomelidae. The record is from RNAcentral.
UUCGCGUUUCGAUCGUCGAAGUUGAACGUUUGUAUGACGGAUGAUGUGUGUUUCGGCGCACGAGUCCGCAUCUUUUGUUCUUCGAAUCGAUGUCGAACGCGUGCACUUUUCCUCUAGUAGGACGUCGUGAUCCGUUGGGUGUCUGUCUAAGACUCGGGGUGGAGCCCACGUGAUUUUUGUGAUUAUGUGGACCCUCGAUGUUCCGACAGACUCGCUCGACGGUAUAAAUAUGGCGCGGGGCCGCUACAUUAGUUAGCGUUCGGCCCGUAGCAAGCACGUUUCGUGUUUGACGGCGAUCGGACCUAGUGCCGAUUCUGUCCCGGAACGACUGUUGGUUACGGUGUUCUCGAACAGACCUCG